RNAcentral lists this long non-coding RNA (6081 nucleotides) under Malus domestica (apple). RNAcentral's name for it is "long non-coding RNA (MDOM_LNC003755)". The record is from RNAcentral. Lineage: Eukaryota; Viridiplantae; Streptophyta; Magnoliopsida; Rosales; Rosaceae.
UAAGUUGAUGAGUAAGAUGUCUAAAGUAUUUACCUCCUUAGAUUUGAUCCAAGGAAAGGUAACACUUUAGAAUAGUUUCCUUGAAAGAUAUGAAGGAAAGAAGCAUCAUAAGAUAAUGGAUUUCUCCAUUAAGAGAAGAACGAACUCAAAUAAGAUUUAGUUCGUUGGAUGUUAUCAAUUAUCCAUAUAUAAGAUAUACACUUCUAAGACAAUAUGAUUAUCAAUUAGAAGAUCUUCCAAAAUUUUCAUGACUCCAUAGGAUGUAGUUGGAAAGAAAGACAAAUCUUAAUCAUGGUAAGAUUUGGGGUUGUGUGCUAAUAAGCAAUAUUUGUUUAAAGAAUUAUCUUGUGGGUAUCCUUAAAUUAACAUUUGGAUAUCACUUCUAUAAACUAACUAACAAAUGUUGUUUGUUGGGUAGUCCAUUGUAAUCCUACACUAGGAUUUGCCUAAGAUAGAGCAAAUGAACGAGGGAUAGAACUCAAAGAAUGGGUUCUUUGAGAGACCAGAUAGUGAUCAACAAAUAUAACAACCUAGUUCCUAUACCACAAGCUCCAAGGUAGUCGAGAAGGAUUUAUAAACUGUCUUAGUUGAAUGGUUUGAACUUUAUAAUUAUGUCAUAGAGUUACACCUAUUAAUUCGAAAGAAAUAAGAAUGAAAAUACUUAUGACUACAUUGAGUGUAUAUACGACAUAUACUCAAGAAAAUGGUAAAGUACCAUUUGACCCGAAAUAAUGAAACCUUUAUAGCUAAUUGGCAGCUUAAGGUGACUACAAUCAAAGAUAUUGGUUGACUUUGAAGAAACCAUCUUUAACGUAGUCUUGAUUUCAAUUAAUUCGAAGAUUGCUAGCUACAACUAAAUGGUGAUUCAAUGUUUGGACAUAAUAUGGGUUUCCGAAACCAUUAUUAUGAUAGUCUUGAUAAUAUAUGUCUAAAACUAUGAAUCACAAGACAAGUAAGUUGUAGAGAUCCAUCCAUCAUGAAUCUUAGCAAGCUAGUGGGAGCUAUAAGCGUCUUAUGAGAGAAAAGAUCAAAUCGUUUGAUUUCUCAUAAAGAUGUAAAUGAAUCUUUUGUUUACUAGGUUUACAAAAGAUUAGUGGGAGUUAAUCAUGUUCCUAAAUUUGAAUAUAUAUAUACACAUAUAUGAUAUAUUAAUUUUGGAAAUGAAAAGAAUACUUCUUCAUUGCAGUUAUGACUUUAAACAUUCUAUAAAGAUAGAAUGGAUAUGGGAGACAUAGUCUAUAUACAUGGGAUGGAAAUCUACAAUGAUAGAUUUCAAGAUAUAAUUGGAUUAUAUCAAUGCCUAAUAAUAGACAAAAGAUGCUAGGAAGUUUCUCAUAUGAUGAUAAACUUCAAUCAGAAGAACAACUCUAGUGAGACUAGGAGGUAGCUCUUCUCAAAAGGAACGUACCCUUUGACUCCCAAAGAAAUAAUGCGUAAAUAGAAUCCUUUAUGCAUACGCAGAAAGGUGAUUUACGUAUUUCAUAUUGUAUGAAAAACGUUCAUAUAAGUUGUACCAAGAUCGGUACAAGACGAUAUCAAUGCAAGCCCAGGAUCAGAACCAUGGCAACUGUCAAGUGAAUCCUUAAGUAUUUGAGAAAUAAUAAAGGAUGGAUUCCUCAAGAAUGAGGAAGAAUUAGAGUAACGUAAUGGAAGCGUAAAUGUAUUAGAUUAUGAAUCUAAUCCAUCAUUGGAUGUUUCUUCAUUAUGAAUGAAGAGAUAAUUAGAUAUCUCUUUAACAUGACUAAAGAGAUAUUUGGAUGGAAACAUUAAAAGUAAUGACUUUAGUGUGUUCCAUUAUGCAUGCAAAAUAUAUUGCCAUAAAGAAGCUUACAACAAUGUUGUUUGGAUGAGAAAGUUCAUUUAUGAACUCUCUAUUCCGUUCCAACCAGAAAGUGUCUCUAGUGUACCGACACUACGACACUAAUGGGGUAAUAGCUCAAGCCAGGGAAUCAAGGCCUCAUCAUGAUCCGAACUCAAAUGAGAGACUAAACCACAUGAUUAAGAAUCAUGUAUAAUGGUGACGUCGUUAUUCUCAAGGUUGCUUCUAUGGAUAACAUAUAGAUAUCCAUUGCCUAGGCCUACUACUCAGCCAUUUUUGAAAUGACUACCGAAGAGGUAUCAUCAUUGAUGACCAAGCUGAUUAGCUCUAGUGCAAGUGGGAGAUUGUUGGAAAUGUGCGCUAAAACCAAUCAUAUGAUGAUACUUUACGGACAUUUCACAUGUUAAACUAAUCUAGUUAAUAUCAAGGGCAAAGAUUAUUGUUUUAAGCCAUCUCAUAUAAAUGUUAUAUGCUUAAACGAUAAGUCCAAGGAAUAUGUAAUUAGGAGAAUGUAAUUUAAAGAAGUUAGAUUCAUGGGAUCAUUCUCUUCCGUAUACAUAUCCUAAACGUUCCUGAUCAUAGGAUUGCCAAUUGGGCAUUGACAGUCCGUUAAGAUCAGUAUGUGUUGUGUCUUCUCUCAGAGAGAGUGACUGGUCUCAAGUCAUUGGUGUGAUUGACAUCAAGACAAGCAUGUAGGUGCUCAAUAGAGAAUGAGUCCACUGAACACGAUCAACGAAGAGUUCUCAUACUCAUGUCACAUGAAAUCUCAUGGUUGGGAUAAUGCAAAGUAAUCCUUUGACCUGAGGCAUCAUAGUUGUCUUGUGGUUAGGUCCUUGAUCUUUGACUAUGUCAAAGUCACUCUGUCAGAGGGUGUCCACGGCAUAGUUGGGAUCUCUAACCUUCAAACCGUUUGAGGGAGAAUAAUCUAUGAUAUGAUUAAGAAUCUCUGACAAGAGUAUGAAUGAGAUUUAGGAAGUCGUUCCAAAUCACAUUCAAGGUAAUCAUAUAAGUAAAUGAAUCACAUUGGAUAGUAGACAUGAUUAAACUAUCAAACCAAAUAAUGUGGUCAAGAGUAUUGUAUUAGAGAAAGACCAUAUUGCAUUGUAAUCCUAAACUGAAUAGGUUCUCCACCUCUUCUGAUUAGCUUGGGUAACCAUGACAUACUGCUAGGUGUCAUUCAUGUUUUGUGGAAGCCCUAAAUAUGUAUAAUCACUAAAGGGAGAAUUGAAAGUAAGUUUCAAUUCACAAUUGAUUUGAAAAAGUUCUAAUCGCCCACUGCCUCGCUAAAAGGAACCUAAUGGAUCGUACAACGUGUAAGGUAGAGAUUGAAGAAACAAAGGAGAUGAGUAAGGAUAAUUAAAUGGUUUAAUUAUUUAUGGCAAGGAUUAAUUAAUAUGUUAAUUAAUCAAGCCAAUAAAGUUCGUUAAAGUCCUCGGGUUAGUUUUGGGCCUCAAGGCCCAAUAGGCUUCGAACGUCAAGCCCAUUGACUUAAGUUGUAUGACAACUUAAUGACUAAAUAUUCACAAAGGCCCAAACAGCCCAAUAACACACUAUGGCCGGCCAUAUUGAUAAAGGAGUGGGUUUUGAACUUAUUACAAGUUUGCCACUCCAAUGAAGGUAGGUAUAAAUAUGACUUUAUAGCCUUUUCUCCAUUAGGGUUUUCUUUUAGAGAAAAGAUGAGAACACAAUGUCUCUUCCUUUCUCUUUAAGAGGCCAGCCACCCUAGAGGAUUUUAGCUAGCAAUCUUACUUCCUCUAGGUCACUUAUCUCUUCUUCAAGUCCAUCCUUGGUGUGGAAAAAUUAGAGGUUCUCAACUUUGGGAACUUGGAGAGUCCUUUCAACCAUCCUCAUCCAAGAAAUCCAUGGAUCUAAGAAGCGAGGAAUGAAGGCCCUCUCCUUGGGUGAUUAGCCUUUGCUUAUGCAAAGAGGAAUCAACAAAGGUAUAAAAUCUCUCAACUCAUUUUGUUCUUGAGUUGAGUCUUGGUUCACAUUUCUACUAGGCUUUGAAUUUCAUGGGUAAUGUUUUGUUUUUGAGUGUAUACAAGCAUGAUUCCGCCUUUAAAUGUUAAUUGCAUGCCAUAGAUGUUGCUCAAAUGAACAUGUUUUCACAAAAUUUCCUUCAUACAAUUACAUUCACAUAGGUCUAGUCCGAAUAGCAGUCAAGCCCUUAAUAAGAAGAGGCAUCAAUACCUCUAUUUUGUUAUGCCUUCGAGAUGCAAGAUUGACUGACUUCAGUGAUAGAAUUCUUAGGAUGAUUGAGUUAAGUGUUUACAACAUAACAAUUCGUUUUGAUUGUUUCCCAGAUCUCACGAUAAGUCUUUCAGAUCCCCACAUGCUGAAAACACUCAAAUUAAACAUCAAAACUUCAGGGUACCAAGUUCUUGAAAGGGUCUAACCAUUAGCCUUGAUCUUUAAAGUUUACUACAAAGUUACAGGAACAAACAUGAAUUUCCAAGCCUUAGUUAAAAGUCCUAGAGACCACACACUCUUGAUACAAACCAAUCAAGAAAAUGCCAACAUUAAAAUACCCAGAACUAUCAAAUGGUCAGAUAUCAGUCUACCUUCAUAUUGGUGCUUGAUCAAUGAAAGCAAACCAGUAGGCAUACAAAAUAGCUUAGUCAACCUCGACAACAUAGAACAAUAUUUUGACAGAACAGUUAAAAUCAACUUCAACCCUCCAACCAUAAAAUCUAGUGUCCACUUACAUGGUUAGCCCAGUCAUACAAAUCUUUAGAGCCUGAUAGAAAUUUUUUUUUCUGAAUCCACAUUAGCCGAUAUGGUGGGUCGAGAUCAAGAUCUAAUCAAUUCCCUGGUUAAUAAGAAAUUAAAUUCAGUAUAAACUAGCUCAGUAGUUACCCAACAAGAAUUAAUUAAUGAUUUGAUCAACGUGAAGUUAAAAUCAGUAGAAACAACCACUCAGGUUACUCAUCCACAAUACCAACCUAACACCCAAAGUCAAGGAGAACAAACUUCUCCAACAGAAUCUGAUUUCGAAGAAAAUCAAGUCAACCACCAACUGCUAGUCCUCAACAAACCAUUUCAAAAUUCGAUGGAAGAAACUCAAUGCUGACAUCGAAGCAAUGGAAAACAUUCCUAGAAGAAAAUAUACGAAGAACAAAAAUUGGACAUUUACAAUAAAUGGACCAAUUUCAUGAAAAAACACAGAUUUGAAGUAUUGUUCUUCGAUUUCGUUGAAAAAUAUUAUGAAUCUGAAAAGAAAUUACAAGUCAUCACCAAAGAAAAUUGGGUCAAAGAAGACAAAACCAUAGUGUCUUUUAGUGAGCCUCCACAAGAAACAAUUUUAAUUACAACUGCAAACACAUAGGUACCAGCCACCCUUUUCAAACUUCCCAAAGAAGAUGCAGGAGUCAAGCCAGUCAUUGAACAAAACGAUUUCACAAAACAGAGUCUACACACCAUAGGAAAACAAUUAGAUAAAAUGUAAACCAAAAUAGAUAGACUUUCACAUGCCAUACCAACAAUUAAGGAAAAACCCUUAGUCAACUUCCCAAGAGCCUCAUCUAACACAACAGCUUUGAAAACAAUCUACAUAAGUUAAAAAAUAGAUCAAAUGUUAUAAAAGUUAAAACAAGAAAAAAUAGUCAAUGUUUUACAACACCCAGAUGAAUUUCAACCAGAAACAACUUCUGUAAUAUGGGAUUCAGAAGAUAAGAGUGAAACAAAUUCCAUCAGAAAAGUAAAAGAAGGUUUUCAAAAUCUUGAACUAAAACGUAUCACAAACAAAAGUGUCAACCCAACUACUCUAACCAAAAGUUGGUAUCCAAGGCCAACACGUCCGGAUAUUCAAUUUCAGAAAAGAAACAUCCAAAACCAAUUCUCAGUCUCGGCUGAUAAACUCUAUGAAUGUAACAUAGAUGGAUAAUCAAAACAAGAACUUUUGAACAAAUGACAACACAUCUCCAUGCUUGCUAAUAGUUAUACUACCAAUCAUAACCUCAGUAAAACCCAAGUUGUCGAGCUUUUGGUCAUUGGAUUUACAAGAAUGCUCUAUUCCUGGUGGGAAAAAUAUCUUAUUGAACAAUCCUGAAAUGAAAUAAAAAACACAGUCAAAAUAGAUGAAGAAGGAACACCUAUUUUUGAUGAACGUAUCCGAAGAGGAGUCCCAGAUACGGUCAACACAUUACUUUUCACUAUCAUUGAACAUUUCAUAGGGACACCUAGUAAUGUCACCUCCUGUUGGAAAUGUGCCCUAAAACCAAUCAUAUGAUGAUACUUUACGGACAUUUCACAAAGUUAAACUA